RNAcentral lists this ribosomal RNA (979 nucleotides) under uncultured bacterium. Its description in RNAcentral is "bacterial SSU rRNA". It matches the Rfam family "Bacterial small subunit ribosomal RNA", at positions 404 to 1399 of the family's 1533-position model. The record is from RNAcentral.
AAGGAAGAAGUAUCUCGGUAUGUAUACUUCUAUCAGCAGGGAAGAAAAUGACGGUACCUGACUAAGAAGCCCCGGCUAACUACGUGCCAGCAGCCGCGGUAAUACGUAGGGGGCAAGCGUUAUCCGGAUUUACUGGGUGUAAAGGGAGCGUAGACGUAUGGUCAAGUCUGAUGUGAAAGCCCGGGGCUCAACCCCGGGACUGCAUUGGAAACUGUCCGUCUUGAGUCCCGGAGAGGUAAGCGGAAUUCCUAGUGUAGCGGUGAAAUGCGUAGAUAUUAGGAGGAACUCCAGUGGCGAAGGCGGCUUACUGGACGGUAACUGACGUUGAGGCUCGAAAGCGUGGGGAGCAACCAGGAUUAGAUCCCCUGGUAGUCCACGCCGUAAACGAUGAAUAUUAGGUGUUGGGAAGCAUUGCUUCUCGGUGCCGUCGCAAACGCAGUAAGUAUUCCACCUGGGGAGUACGUUCGCAAGAAUGCAACUCAAAGGAAUUGACGGGGACCCGCACAAGCGUCGGAGCAUGUGGUUUAAUUCGAAGUAACGCGAAAAACCUUAUCAAGUCUUGACAUCCUUCUGACCGGUAGUUAAUUGUACCUUUUCUUCGGAGCAGGAGUGACAGGUGGUGCAUGGUUGUCGUCAGCUCGUGUCGUGAGAUGGUGGGUUAAUGUCCCGCAACGAGCGCAACCCUUAUCUUUAGUAGCCAGCGGUCCGGCCGGGCACUCUAGAGAGCCCGCCAGGGAUAAUCUGGAGGAAGCCGGGGAUUAAGUCAAAUCCUCAUGCCCCCCAUGAUUUGGGCUGCACACGUGUUACAAUGGGGAAAACAAAGGGAAGCGAGCCUGCGAGGGGGAGCAAAUCCCAAAAAUAACGUGUCAGUUUGGCUCGUAGUCCGCAACUCGACUACAUGAAGAUGGAAUCGCUAGUAUUGGCAGAUAAGAAUGAUGCAGGUGAACCAGUUUUCGUCUUGAGCCAUCACCACCCUUCA